UUCCGGCUGAAUCAAGUGUUCGCGAGUUCGUAUUGACCUGGGGAGUCGAGGCGGCUUCCAUAAAUCGUGGGAUUGGAUCCCGAGCAUCGUAACAGAAAACCGAAGACCUAUAAUUCUCGGAUCGCGAAGCGGAGGUCAUUCGGUGGUCGCGCGUGAAUAGGGUCGAGCCGAGCGGCGUGCGCCGCGGGAGGCCGAUUGCGAGUGACGACGAGCAAUCGGAACGCUGUAAAAAGGUACACACGUGAGCGGACCGGCAGGUGAUCGCGGUAAGGGCGUAGCGCCCUAGCUAGCUAGUAGAGCUUUCCUAUUGUACUAGAGCACCCUCGUGUGCAUGGUUAUAGAUGACAUGAUGUAUUUUGGAUAGCUAGCAUUAUGUAUAUGUGAUAUGAUUAUGUAUUCAUUUUGGAAGCUUAAAUGUAAUCAAGUUGUAUUAAAGGUUGAA
Long non-coding RNA from Ananas comosus (pineapple), 442 nucleotides. RefSeq lists it as uncharacterized. The transcript is spliced from 2 exons. NCBI's taxonomy places the organism in Eukaryota, Viridiplantae, Streptophyta, Magnoliopsida, Poales, Bromeliaceae. The record is from RefSeq and is a predicted model, not a curated record.